GACGAACGCUGGCGGCGUGCUUAACACAUGCAAGUCGAACGGAAAGGCCCUGCUUUUGUGGGGUGCUCGAGUGGCGAACGGGUGAGUAACACGUGAGUAACCUGCCCUUGACUUUGGGAUAACUUCAGGAAACUGGGGCUAAUACCGGAUAGGAGCUCCUGCUGCAUGGUGGGGGUUGGAAAGUUUCGGCGGUUGGGGAUGGACUCGCGGCUUAUCAGCUUGUUGGUGGGGUAGUGGCUUACCAAGGCUUUGACGGGUAGCCGGCCUGAGAGGGUGACCGGCCACAUUGGGACUGAGAUACGGCCCAGACUCCUACGGGAGGCAGCAGUGGGGAAUAUUGCACAAUGGGCGGAAGCCUGAUGCAGCAACGCCGCGUGCGGGAUGACGGCCUUUGGGUUGUAAACCGCUUUCGCCUGUGACGAAGCGUGAGUGACGGUAAUGGGUAAAGAAGCACCGGCCAACUACGUG
Molecule: ribosomal RNA, 468 nt
Filed under: uncultured bacterium
Lineage: Bacteria
Description: partial 16S ribosomal RNA
Rfam family: Bacterial small subunit ribosomal RNA
Source: RNAcentral